UAGGUGGCAAGCGUUGUCCGGAUUUAUUGGGCGUAAAGCGAGCGCAGGCGGUUUCUUAAGUCUGAUGGGAAAGCCCUCGGCUCAACCGAGGAAGGUCAUUGGAAACUGGGGAACUUGAAUGCAGAAGAGGAGAGUGGAAUUCCAUGUGUAGCGGUGAAAUGCGUAGAUAUAUGGAGGAACACCAGUGGCGAAGGCGACUCUCUGGUCUGUAAUUGACGCUGAGGCUCGAAAGCGUGGGGAGCAAA
This 245-nucleotide ribosomal RNA is filed under the name uncultured bacterium. RNAcentral describes it as "partial 16S ribosomal RNA". It matches the Rfam family "Bacterial small subunit ribosomal RNA", at positions 528 to 772 of the family's 1533-position model. The record is from RNAcentral.